GAGUUUGAUCCUGGCUCAGAACGAACGCUGGCGGCGUGUCUUAAGCAUGCAAGUCGAGCGGCAAGGGUAGCAAUACCCCUAGAGCGGCGGACUGGUGAGUAACACGUGGGUGAUCUACCUCGGGGAUGGGAUAGCCAUUAGAAAUAGUGGGUAAUACCGAAUACGUUAGCAAGCUUGCGAGCUUGUUAAGAAAGGCGCUACGGCGCCACCCUGAGAUGAGCCCGCGCCCCAUUAGCUAGUUGGUGAGGUAACGGCCCACCAAGGCGAUGAUGGGUAGGCGGCCUGAGAGGGUGUACGCCCACACUGGGACUGAGAUACGGCCCAGACUCCUACGGGAGGCAGCAGCUAAGAAUAUUCCGCAAUGGACGAAAGUCUGACGGAGCGACGCCGCGUGGAUGAUGAAGGCCGGAAGGUUGUAAAAUCCUUUUGUCGGGGAAGAAUAAGCACGGGAGGGAAUGCCCGUGUGAUGACAUGAACCGGCGAAUAAGCCCCGGCUAACUACGUGCCAGCAGCCGCGGUAACACGUAGGGGGCGAGCGUUGUUCGGAAUUACUGGGCGUAAAGGGCAUGUAGGCGGUUUUGUAAGCCUGACGUGAAAGGCUAUGGCUCAACCAUGGCACUGCGUUGGGAACUGCAAGACUUGAAUCAUGGAGGGGGAGCUGGAAUUCCAGGUGUAGGGGUGAAAUCUGUAGAUAUCUGGAAGAACACCAGUGGCGAAGGCGAGCUCCUGGCCAAUGAUUGACGCUGAGGUGCGAAAGUGUGGGGGAUCAAACAGGAUUAGAGACCCUGGUAGUCCACACUGUCAACGAUGUGCACUAGGUGCUGGGGCGGACGCUUUCAGUGCCGGAGCUGACGCGGUAGUGCACCGCCUGGGGGAGUAUGCUCGCAAGGGUG
RNAcentral lists this ribosomal RNA (893 nucleotides) under uncultured bacterium. RNAcentral describes it as "bacterial SSU rRNA". It matches the Rfam family "Bacterial small subunit ribosomal RNA", at positions 9 to 896 of the family's 1533-position model. The record is from RNAcentral.